GUGGGGAAUAUUGGACAAUGGGCGCAAGCCUGAUCCAGCCAUGCCGCGUGAGUGAUGAAGGUCUUAGGAUUGUAAAAUCCUUUCACCGGUGAAGAUAAUGACUGUAGCCGGAGAAGAAGCCCCGGCUAACUUCGUGCCAGCAGCCGCGGUAAUACGAAGGGGGCUAGCGUUGCUCGGAUUUACUGGGCGUAAAGGGCGCGUAGGCGGACAUUUAAGUCAGGGGUGAAAUCCCGGGGCUCAACCUCGGAACUGCCUUUGAUACUGGGUGUCUUGAGUAUGAGAGAGGUGUGUGGAACUCCGGGUGUAGAGGUGAAAUUCGUAGAUAUUCGGAAGAACACCAGUGGCGAAGGCGACACACUGGCUCAUUACUGACGCUGAGGCGCGAAAGCGUGGGGAGCAAACAGGAUUAGAAACCCCAGUAGUCC
Molecule: ribosomal RNA, 425 nt
Filed under: uncultured bacterium
Lineage: Bacteria
Description: partial 16S ribosomal RNA
Rfam family: Bacterial small subunit ribosomal RNA
Source: RNAcentral